UGGAGGUUGUUUGGCUUGAGCU
Molecule: microRNA, 22 nt
Filed under: Eugenia uniflora (Surinam cherry)
Lineage: Eukaryota; Viridiplantae; Streptophyta; Magnoliopsida; Myrtales; Myrtaceae
Description: eun-miR10219-3p
Source: miRBase by way of RNAcentral